CUCCUGCUUUCACUGCCCCUCGCUUCCUCCCUCCCAGCCAGGGUGUAUCUCUCCCUCUCCCUGGAAACACCUAAUGGGCUCUAUGCAGCCGUGCCCUGGAGCUGGCUUAUACUGGCUUGCAAUGGCCAAUGGAAAAAGCAAGCAAAAAUGGAGCCUGCCCCUUCAUACCCCCAGUAAACUGUCUUGUGCAUGAACCUCCUCAAUGCCACAGUGACUGGCAGUGUCCAAAGAAGCAGAAAUGCUGUCCUGGCCUUUGUGGCAUCAAAUGCUUGGACCCUGAAGACCCAUCAAAGCCAGUUCAAGUCAAUCCUGGGAAGUGUCCAGUGGUCACUGGCCAGUGUAUGAUGCUCAACCCCCCAGACAAAUGCCGGAAUGACAGCCACUGCCCGAAGAGUCUCAAGUGCUGCAAGGGGAUGUGUGGGAAUUUAUGUGUCAAGCCAGUGUGAGAAUAAAUCUAGCUUAGGACUUCCUGGUGUGCAUGGAAUUACUUCCUGGGAUUCCUUUUUCCUCACAC
This is an RNA transcript of Myotis davidii, 514 nucleotides long. It is a transcript of the gene named antileukoproteinase-like, with no coding region annotated. The record is from RefSeq and is a predicted model, not a curated record. Lineage: Eukaryota; Metazoa; Chordata; Mammalia; Chiroptera; Vespertilionidae. The transcript has 4 exons.